CCUACGGGAGGCAGCAGUGAGGAAUAUUGGUCAAUGGGCGCAAGCCUGAACCAGCCAAGUCGCGUGAGGGAAGACGGCCCUACGGGUUGUAAACCUCUUUUGCCGGGGAGCAAGCCUGAGCACGUGUGCCCAGGCGGAGAGUACCCGGAGAAAAAGCAUCGGCUAACUCCGUGCCAGCAGCCGCGGUAAUACGGAGGAUGCGAGCGUUAUCCGGAUUUAUUGGGUUUAAAGGGAGCGUAGAUGGGUUGUUAAGUCAGUUGUGAAAGUUUGCGGCUCAACCGUAAAAUUGCAAUUGAUACUGGCAGUCUUGAGUACAGUUGAGGUAGGCGGAAUUCGUGGUGUAGCGGUGAAAUGCUUAGAUAUCACGAAGAACCCCGAUUGCGAAGGCAGCUUACUAAACUGUGACUGACAUUGAUGCUCGAAAGUGUGGGUAUCAAACAGGAUUAGAUACCCCUGUAGUC
This 461-nucleotide ribosomal RNA is filed under the name uncultured bacterium. RNAcentral's name for it is "partial 16S ribosomal RNA". It matches the Rfam family "Bacterial small subunit ribosomal RNA", at positions 338 to 795 of the family's 1533-position model. The record is from RNAcentral.